RNAcentral lists this ribosomal RNA (497 nucleotides) under uncultured bacterium. Its description in RNAcentral is "partial 16S ribosomal RNA". It matches the Rfam family "Bacterial small subunit ribosomal RNA", at positions 28 to 507 of the family's 1533-position model. The record is from RNAcentral.
GAUGAACGCUGGCGGCGUGCCUAAUACAUGCAAGUCGAGCGAACAGACGAGGAGCUUGCUCCUCUGACGUUAGCGGCGGACGGGUGAGUAACACGUGGAUAACCUACCUAUAAGACUGGGAUAACUUCGGGAAACCGGAGCUAAUACCGGAUAAUAUAUUGAACCGCAUGGUUCAAUAGUGAAAGACGGCUUUGCUGUCACUUAUAGAUGGAUCCGCGCCGCAUUAGCUAGUUGGUAAGGUAACAGCUUACCAAGGCAACGAUGCGUAGCCGACCUGAGAGGGUGAUCGGCCACACUGGAACUGAGACACGGUCCAGACUCCUACGGGAGGCAGCAGUAGGGAAUCUUCCGCAAAGGGCGAAAGCCUGACGGAGCAACGCCGCGUGAGUGAUGAAGGUCUUCGGAUCGUAAAACUCUGUUAUUAGGGAAGAACAAAUGUGUAAGUAACUAUGCACGUCUUGACGGUACCUAAUCAGAAAGCCACGGCUAACUACGUG